GACGAACGCUGGCGGCGUGCUUAACACAUGCAAGUCGAACGGAAAGGCCCUGCUUUUGUGGGGUGCUCGAGUGGCGAACGGGUGAGUAACACGUGAGUAACCUGCCCUUGACUUUGGGAUAACUUCAGGAAACUGGGGCUAAUACCGGAUAGGAGCUCCUGCUGCAUGGUGGGGGUUGGAACGUUUCGGCGGUUGGGGAUGGACUCGCGGCUUAUCAGCUUGUUGGUGGGGUAGUGGCUUACCAAGGCUUUGACGGGUAGCCGGCCUGAGAGGGUGACCGGCCACAUUGGGACUGAGAUACGGCCCAGACUCCUACGGGAGACAGCAGUGGGGAAUAUUGCACAAUGGGCGGGAGCCUGAUGCGGCAGCGCCGCGUGCGGGAUGACGGCCUUCGGGUUGUAAACCGCUUUCGCCUGUGACGAAGCGUGAGUGACGGUAAUGGGUAAAGAAGCACCGGCUAACUACGUG
Molecule: ribosomal RNA, 468 nt
Filed under: uncultured bacterium
Lineage: Bacteria
Description: partial 16S ribosomal RNA
Rfam family: Bacterial small subunit ribosomal RNA
Source: RNAcentral